This 874-nucleotide ribosomal RNA is filed under the name Bacillus velezensis. RNAcentral describes it as "bacterial SSU rRNA". It matches the Rfam family "Bacterial small subunit ribosomal RNA", at positions 22 to 877 of the family's 1533-position model. The record is from RNAcentral. Lineage: Bacteria; Bacillati; Bacillota; Bacilli; Caryophanales; Bacillaceae.
GCUCAGGACGAACGCUGGCGGCGUGCCUAAUACAUGCAAGUCGAGCGGACAGAUGGGAGCUUGCUCCCUGAUGUUAGCGGCGGACGGGUGAGUAACACGUGGGUAACCUGCCUGUAAGACUGGGAUAACUCCGGGAAACCGGGGCUAAUACCGGAUGGUUGUCUGAACCGCAUGGUUCAGACAUAAAAGGUGGCUUCGGCUACCACUUACAGAUGGACCCGCGGCGCAUUAGCUAGUUGGUGAGGUAACGGCUCACCAAGGCGACGAUGCGUAGCCGACCUGAGAGGGUGAUCGGCCACACUGGGACUGAGACACGGCCCAGACUCCUACGGGAGGCAGCAGUAGGGAAUCUUCCGCAAUGGACGAAAGUCUGACGGAGCAACGCCGCGUGAGUGAUGAAGGUUUUCGGAUCGUAAAGCUCUGUUGUUAGGGAAGAACAAGUGCCGUUCAAAUAGGGCGGCACCUUGACGGUACCUAACCAGAAAGCCACGGCUAACUACGUGCCAGCAGCCGCGGUAAUACGUAGGUGGCAAGCGUUGUCCGGAAUUAUUGGGCGUAAAGGGCUCGCAGGCGGUUUCUUAAGUCUGAUGUGAAAGCCCCCGGCUCAACCGGGGAGGGUCAUUGGAAACUGGGGAACUUGAGUGCAGAAGAGGAGAGUGGAAUUCCACGUGUAGCGGUGAAAUGCGUAGAGAUGUGGAGGAACACCAGUGGCGAAGGCGACUCUCUGGUCUGUAACUGACGCUGAGGAGCGAAAGCGUGGGGAGCGAACAGGAUUAGAUACCCUGGUAGUCCACGCCGUAAACGAUGAGUGCUAAGUGUUAGGGGGUUUCCGCCCCUUAGUGCUGCAGCUAACGCAUUAAGCACUCCGCCUGGG